UAGGAUUCGGACUUAAAUUGUAAGACUUUUUUCUUCUUGCUCUUUUCCUUCUACCUUUGAUUUAACUUACAAAAAAGCACAUAGACAAAAUAUAUUUAAUUCUCUAUUUAGUCAUAAUAGUUUCACAGACAAAAGUCAAAAUGAGAUUUGAAUUAUACUUUGUUGACAGGUAACUGAUUGCCCUAUAAAUAUCUCAAUGACAUUUCAUUGCCUUUUUUGAUAAAUAUGACAUCAUACUUUUGUCUAUGAUGCAUGAAAAUUGAAAAAAUCUAAUUAUUACAACUUUUGAAAGAUAAGCAUUUAGUAGAUCUCUUUAAGUGCAAUAAAACAAUAUUACAUCUCAACAAAACUUACCCUGUACUAACAGAUACCCAGGAAAUAAAUAGUGAGUAAAUUUGAAAUUGCGAGCCUUUUUCACUUAUAAUUCUGAAUAUACAGAUUUAAUGAAAUAGCUCUCUUAUUACAAAUAAACUCAAAGAGCUGGAAAGCAAAUACAAGAACUAAAUGUAGAAGAGUUAGUUGGUAGAUAUAGUUAAAUGGGUGUAGUUAUAAUAAAAUUUGUUUUUACUUGUUUUUUUAUGUUAGAGCGAUUUCUUUCUGAACUACCACUUCACAUUGAAUUAUAGACCUUCAGGAAUAGUUGCCUCCUUUUGGAUUAAUUCAAUAAACAUUUACUAAAUAGCUCACAUCUAUGGCAAGUCCUAUGCUAAGACUUGGGGAUAUAAUCAUGAAUAUUUUUUGUCUUCUGAGGCCCACUGCCUAUUGGGAAAACUAACAAAUUAUUAUUUCAACAAACCUACAAUACGGGGAUACAAUGAAGAUAAGCACAAAACAAUAAGGGAGCAAUGUGGUCUAAUUACCUUGAAGGACCAAAAGGACUGAGUGAAGUAAAAUGUUAAAGUGUCAAAAGAGUUACAGAAAGGGGAAACAGAAUGAGACAAGACACACAUGUUUUGGAAAUUGCAUUCUGGCUUCUGCAUUAAUGUCAUUACAUUUGCUCUUACAAGAUCACUAGAGGCAGUCACCUCAUAUUAAUGCCUCCUGCAGCUUUUGAUGCUUUCCUGUAACACCCUUCCUCUGGUAUCUGAGGCAUCCUACUUGGUUUGUUUCUAUCUCUCAAGUCAUUCACAGUCUUGUUUAUGGCUCUCUUUUUAGUCUCCUCUUUAUCCGUUAAAGGUUAGUAUUCCUCACAAUUUGGUCCUGACCUCUCUUCUUUCCUUACUCUUCACAUUUUCUGCAAGCAAUCUGAUCCAGUCCCAUGGUUUCAAUUUUCAAAAAUCUUUUGAAACCGCUAAAACAUCUGUCCCUAAUUUCUCUCUCUCUCUCUUCUGGGUUCCAAACACAUAAUACAGCACUUUUGCCUGAUAGUUCUAUCUGGCUGUUCUUGAGGGUCCUCAAGCCCAACAUGUUCUAAAGCAAAUGUUUUCCUGCCCCAUCGCAGUGCAUGGUACUACCAUUUUCCUGGUUGUCAAUGUCAGAAAUCUGAAAUGACAUCUUUGAUUUUUCCUCCCCCUUAGUUCUCCAUGUCCAAUUAGUUAUGCCAGUAAUAACUUCUAAAGAGUCUCUCAAAUUCCCCUGUGCUGUAUCCUCUUGGUAUAAUUAUCAGACUUUUGCAAGACUCUCCUAAGUUGCCUCCAGCCUCAAGUUCUCCUCCCUUCAAUCCAUUUUCUGCAAUGCAGUCAGGUGAUCUUGGUAAAGCACAACUUUGAUCACAUCAUUCAUUCUCAUUAUUAAAACCCCCUAAUAGUUCUCAUUUAUAUAAAAAUCAAGUUAAACUUAUUCAUAAAGUGGCAUGUAUCUCGAUUUGCCUGAGACAAUUAAGUUUACGAUUUUAGCUCCAGGAUCUUCUGCUAGCACCCCCUUAACUCUCAAAAGGGUCUUGGUUCAGAUGAUAACUUAUAUUGUCACCCUACAUAUAAAAUCUUCAAAGAUUUCUGCUUGUGUCUUCAGCCUCAUCUCUGUUACUCUCUUUUUCAUUCUAAGCCCUAGCCACCCUAAACUACCAAAGGUACUCAAACUGCAAUGCUCUCUCUCACCUCCAGCCUUUGCCUUUUGCCUGUAUCGUCCUUUCUCCUGUUUCCCUUUCUUUGCCUCUCUCACUCCUACUUAACCUCCAGGUGUCAGACUGGAUAACAGUUCUUCUUGAAAGCCUUCUCUGAUUCUCUUCUACCUCAGCUGAUCAAGUGUGCCUUCUAAGGGAUUCCAUACCAUUCUAGUUACUUUUAUUGUAACACUUUUCAUGCUAAUUAAUAAUUUCCUACUCUUUCUUUCACCUUCACCAUAUUUCUUCCUUGAAUAAAUCUGACCUGUUCACUAUUGUAUUUCUACCACUUAGCACAGUGCCUAGCACACACAGUAGAAGCUAAAAUGCUAAAAGGCCUGUGAAUGGUGAUGGAAUUUUUAAUCAACCUGAACAUAGUUUUAUUUAGACUGAGAUGAAAACUCUUUAUAAAAAUUGAUUUAUCUUGUAAUUUAAUGAGCAAUGACCGUUCGGUAUUUUGGCCUCCUUUAUCUUAUUUAUGUUAUCAAAUUUUGCCAAUGGAAAUAGAGUGAACAGCGAACCUUGUAAUUCGCUGAAGAAAAUAAUAAAAAAUUAUUUAAAAUACAAUUUUGGGGUUUUGUUUAGUAUUUAUCAUAAUAAUCUUU
RNAcentral lists this long non-coding RNA (2646 nucleotides) under Homo sapiens (human). RNAcentral's name for it is "HSALNT0316011". Lineage: Eukaryota; Metazoa; Chordata; Mammalia; Primates; Hominidae. The record is from RNAcentral.